RNAcentral lists this ribosomal RNA (501 nucleotides) under uncultured bacterium. RNAcentral's name for it is "partial 16S ribosomal RNA". It matches the Rfam family "Bacterial small subunit ribosomal RNA", at positions 30 to 523 of the family's 1533-position model. The record is from RNAcentral.
AUUGAACGCUGGCGGCAGGCUUAACACAUGCAAGUCGAGCGGGGUGAGGUGCUUCGGUACUGAUCCUAGCGGCGGACGGGUGAGUAAUGCUUAGGAAUCUGCCAUUUAGUGGGGGACAACAUUCCGAAAGGAAUGCUAAUACCGCAUACGUCCUACGGGAGAAAGCAGGGGAUCUUAGGACCUUGCGCUAAAUGAUGAGCCUAAGUCGGAUUAGCUAGUUGGUGGGGUAAAGGCCUACCAAGGCGACGAUCUGUAGCGGGUCUGAGAGGAUGAUCCGCCACACUGGGACUGAGACACGGCCUAGACUCCUACGGGAGGCAGCAGUGGGGAAUAUUGGACAAUGGGCGGAAGCCUGAUCCAGCCAUGCCGCGUGUGUGAAGAAGGCCUUUUGGUUGUAAAGCACUUUAAGCGAGGAGGAGGCUACCUAGAUUAAUACUCUGGGAUAGUGGACGUUACUCGCAGAAUAAGCACCGGCUAACUCUGUGCCAGCAGCCGCCGUAA